GUGGGGAAUAUUGGUCAAUGGGCGCAAGCCUGAACCAGCCAUGCCGCGUGCAGGAAGACGGUCCUAUGGAUUGUAAACUGCUUUUAUUUGGGAAUAAACUCCGGUACGUGUACCGGCCUGAAGGUACCAAAUGAAUAAGCACCGGCUAACUCCGUGCCAGCAGCCGCGGUAAUACGGAGGGUGCAAGCGUUAUCCGGAAUCAUUGGGUUUAAAGGGUCCGCAGGCGGUCUUAUAAGUCAGUGGUGAAAGCCUACAGCUCAACUGUAGAACUGCCAUUGAUACUGUAGGACUUGAAUUCGAUCGAAGUGGGCGGAAUGUGACAUGUAGCGGUGAAAUGCUUAGAUAUGUCACAGAACACCGAUAGCGAAGGCAGCUCACUAGGUCUGGAUUGACGCUCAGGGACGAAAGCGUGGGGAGCAAACAGGAUUAGAUACCCGGGUAGUCC
Molecule: ribosomal RNA, 445 nt
Filed under: uncultured bacterium
Lineage: Bacteria
Description: partial 16S ribosomal RNA
Rfam family: Bacterial small subunit ribosomal RNA
Source: RNAcentral